This 253-nucleotide ribosomal RNA is filed under the name uncultured bacterium. RNAcentral describes it as "partial 16S ribosomal RNA". It matches the Rfam family "Bacterial small subunit ribosomal RNA", at positions 524 to 776 of the family's 1533-position model. The record is from RNAcentral.
UACGGAGGGUGCAAGCGUUAAUCGGAAUUACUGGGCGUAAAGCGCGCGUAGGUGGUUUGUUAAGUUGGAUGUGAAAUCCCCGGGCUCAACCUGGGAACUGCAUUCAAAACUGACUGACUAGAGUAUGGUAGAGGGUGGUGGAAUUUCCUGUGUAGCGGUGAAAUGCGUAGAUAUAGGAAGGAACACCAGUGGCGAAGGCGACCACCUGGACUAAUACUGACACUGAGGUGCGAAAGCGUGGGGAGCAAACAGG